This 1087-nucleotide small RNA is filed under the name Acarospora privigna. Its description in RNAcentral is "sequence contains 18S rRNA gene, ITS1, 5.8S rRNA gene, ITS2, 28S rRNA gene". The stretch from base 491 to 1087 matches the Rfam family "Eukaryotic large subunit ribosomal RNA", at positions 1 to 601 of the family's 3401-position model. The record is from RNAcentral. Lineage: Eukaryota; Fungi; Ascomycota; Lecanoromycetes; Acarosporales; Acarosporaceae.
AGGAUCAUUACAGAGUUAGGGUCUUUCAGGCCCGAUCUCCAACCCUAUGUGUACCUACCUCUGUUGCUUUGGCGGGCCGGUUGGGGCGACCCACCGGUGGCCUUCGGCUCCCGAGUGCCCGUCAGAGACCCAUCCAAACCUGUCAAUUGUGUCGUCUGAGUACCAACUUAAUAAUUAAAACUUUCAACAACGGAUCUCUUGGUUCUGGCAUCGAUGAAGAACGCAGCGAAAUGCGAUAAGUAAUGUGAAUUGCAGAAUUCAGUGAAUCAUCGAAUCUUUGAACGCACAUUGCGCCUCUCGGUAUUCCGGGAGGCAUGCCUGUUCGAGCGUCAUUACACCACUCAAGCUCGGCUUGGUGUUGGGCCCUCGUCCCCCGCGGACGUGCCCGGAAAUCAGUGGCGGCGCAGCCCGGCUUCAAGCGCAUCAGUCGUAACAACGCUUUGGAAGUCCGGGUAUGGGUCUGCCAGACAACCCCACCAUUUAUCAAGGUUGACCUCGGAUCAGGUAGGCAUACCCGCUGAACUUAAGCAUAUCAAUAAGCGGAGGAAAAGAAACCAACAGGGAUUGCCUCAGUAACGGCGAGUGAAGCGGCAACAGCUCAAAUUUGAAAUCUGGCUCUUUCAGGGUCCGAGUUGUAAUUUGCAGAGGAUGCUUCGGGUUCGGCUCCGGUCUAAGUUCCUUGGAACAGGACGUCAUAGAGGGUGAGAAUCCCGUAUGUGACCGGUCGCCACGCCCGUGUGAAGCUCCUUCGACGAGUCGAGUUGUUUGGGAAUGCAGCUCAAAAUGGGUGGUAAAUUUCAUCUAAAGCUAAAUAUUGGCCAGAGACCGAUAGCGCACAAGUAGAGUGAUCGAAAGAUGAAAAGCACUUUGGAAAGAGAGUCAAACAGUACGUGAAAUUGUUGAAAGGGAAGCGCUUGCAAUCAGACUUGCCCGCGGGUGAUCAGCCGGUAUUCUUACCGGUGCACUCGCCCGUGGUCAGGCCAGCAUCGGUUCGGGCGGCUGGAUAAAGUCCACCGGAACGUAGCUCCCCUCGGGGAGUGUUAUAGCCGGAGGUGCCAUGCAGCCCGCCCGGACCGAGGACCGCGCU